UGAGGAAUUUUGCGCAAUGGGCGAAAGCCUGACGCAGCAACGCCGCGUGGGGGAUGAAGGCUCUCGGGUUGUAAACCCCUUUUCUCGGGGAAGAUGAUGACGGUACCCGAGGAAUAAGUCACGGCAAACUACGUGCCAGCAGCCGCGGUAAUACGUAGGUGGCAAGCGUUGUCCGGAUUUACUGGGCGUAAAGCGCGCGUAGGCGGCUUUCUAAGUCUAUGGUGAAAUCUCCUGGCUUAACUGGGAGGAGUCUGUGGAUACUGGAAGGCUUGAGUGUCGCAGAGGAAAGUAGAAUUCCCGGUGGAGUGGUGAAAUGCGUAGAUAUCGGGAGGAAUACCAGAGGCGUAAGCGGCUUUCCAGGCGAUUACUGACGCUGAGGCGCGAAAGCGUGGGGAGCAAACCGG
RNAcentral lists this ribosomal RNA (404 nucleotides) under uncultured bacterium. RNAcentral describes it as "bacterial SSU rRNA". It matches the Rfam family "Bacterial small subunit ribosomal RNA", at positions 355 to 776 of the family's 1533-position model. The record is from RNAcentral.